Strigops habroptila (Kakapo) is the source of this 1041-nucleotide long non-coding RNA. The record is from Ensembl. NCBI's taxonomy places the organism in Eukaryota, Metazoa, Chordata, Aves, Psittaciformes, Psittacidae.
CAGGGUUUUCUAUGGGAUGACCACUGAGGAGACGAUUCUGCGAGAGAUCAGCCUUUUCUGGGAGCUCUUGGGCUCCACAGACACUGUGCUCCAGGAAAGCUACAUCGUGGCCACUUAUGAAAAUCCCAGUGUCCCUCAGCGCCGCAACGAGAUCUGGUUCAUGUGCCGAGCAGAGUGAGUCCCAUCUGUGACCGCAAACCAUCCUGCAACCAGACCUGGUGUAGAUGGCAGUUCUGACCCAAAGGAGGCGAAUGCACAUCCUGACCCACUGUUCACCCACAAAAUGACAGACUGCAGGCUGGCUUUGCACUCUGCCCUGCAAGGGCCCAGCCAGGAGAAAUCUUGCCUGGUCUGCACUUCUUCUGCCCCACAGGGGCCAGCUGAGGUUGGAGCUGGCACCGGGGAGAGCCUCUGCAGCAGGCUCCUGGUGGGAAGAGUGUGGUGAGGGCUCACGUGAGGCAGUAACCGUGUGGGCUUGUGCAAUGUGCUAGCCUGACCUGGGCUUCUCUCAGCUCUGAGCUGUGCUUGCAGAGCUGUGCCAGGCACGCCAGUGGGGCUUGUGGUUGGCAAAGUCGCAAGCUGGUGGUGUCUAGAAGGCAAAUGACUGUACGAGGUGUGGGCUCUGUCUGGGCUCUGGCCUGCUUCCUGUGAGAAUGGCUGCCUGUCCUGGACAGAGCCACUGAAAUGUUGCUCAGGGACUGUGGGGUUUAAAGGGGUAAAAGACUUGCCACAAGCGAGAUGUGGAUCCUGAAUGUUUCCUGCUGUGGUGGCUCUCUGUGUGCUGUUGGGUGCCUCUCUGGCUGUCGCUCACCAUCCUGCAGCCAGGACUGGGGCGCUGGCAGCCUUUGUCCAUCAGUUGUGGGUGCUGUUUUGCGGACAUGCUGCAAGCUGAGGGACGGGCCCUGACAGCAGCAGCGGCGGCACCACCGUGUGUUGUGUGUUGUGUUGUGCAUUGAUCAGCGAGUGCCACAUCCACAAACACUGUUGUGCUCUCCUGGGGGAAGCUGGCAGUGCCAACAGUAAAUAAACCCAGCUAAAACC